GAAGACGAGAAUGGGUUCCUCCCGCCUGGCCGAGGGUUUCUUGAAGAGGUCCCCUCGAAUUCCUCUGAUUCCACAGAUCGAAACCUGGAUAUCCAUGAAGUUGAUAGCAUGUUGCCUAAUGAUGGCCACUUUGCCCGCUGUAAUCAUAGGAAGGGCGGCCCCGAGGCAGCCAUGGAAUGGGCUCUAUUCGUGUGAGCCGCGAGUUGAAUUCCAGCAUUACAUAUACCCGAAGUGUCGUGGUCUGUGGGUUUCGUCAUGGUGGUGAGUCCGAAAAGAAGUGUGGAAGAAGAAGAGAUCUGCAGGACAACUCCAGAAGAAGAAGAAAUCUGCAGGACAAAUCCAGAAAUUGAAGGAUGACACUCAGUAAGAAUCAAAUGAAGAUGAAGCUCAGCUACUCCUGGCCGGCAAGAAGAUGAGACGGUUGGCCUCGAGAACACCGCUCUGAUGCCAUGUCAAGAUUCAAGAUUGAGCAGAAGAACUUAACUUCUUUUCAUUCAUUCGACUGGUAUAUAUGCAUCCAGGUCCGGUAAAUAAAAGGAAAACAAUAUCUACGGCUAAACUAGGGGUGCCUAAAUAUGGUAUACAUGGAUAUAUGUACAUAAAAUACAGAGGGAAAUAAAUCUUUCCAUAAUA
Molecule: non-coding RNA, 633 nt
Organism: Punica granatum (pomegranate)
Lineage: Eukaryota; Viridiplantae; Streptophyta; Magnoliopsida; Myrtales; Lythraceae
Source: RefSeq, a predicted model, not a curated record